CAUGAGCUUGCCAAGCUUGUUUCUGACCUAGAAAAGCUGUCUCUCAACUUACUACAUAACUCUUCAGUGGCCUGUAUGAAAUGAUGUUUAAUGAAGCUGGCAGAGAGAGUAAUGAAAGCCCCAAGGGUUUUGUUACAUUAGAGCUUGCACAGCAUGACUCCCCUGGAAAUAUUUUCUAAAAUUGGGCUAUAAAACCAAGGAGAGAUCUGGCUAUUUAGCAGGGAAAGAAGCAUUUCUGAGGACUUCCCUUUCAAUUUUAUAGAGAUUCAUGAUCAUGGGGAAAAAAAAAUGGUGGGGAACCAUUAGGUCUUGCAUGUUUAGAAGGCUGCAGGAAGAAAGAGAAUGGGAAAUGUUGCAUGCUCUGUUCAUUCUGCAUGGCUAACGGACAGAAGUACUCCAGGUCUUCUACUGUACAUUUCAUUUUCUUCCUCAACAGGGUCCUUAAUGCCCCCAAAUUAUUACAAAAAGAAAACAACACCCAAACCCUAAAUACUUGUCUUUCAUUCAAGGAACUGCUUCCAGAGCUGUAUUAGGAAUGCCCAAAGUACACCAAAACUGAAAUCCACUUCAGGAAAAGAACAGUGUCUUCCCCUCUUGCCUCUGGUCUUUCACUGUGCAGUGUAGAUUUGACACAGACACAAAGCUUUGCUUAAACUCACAAAAGUUAAGGCCAAACGUGGAUAUGGCAAAUCAGUUUGUUGAGAAAGCUGAUUGAAUAGCUCUUGUUAAUUACUGAUCUAUCACAUGAGGUACUGAGAAUAUGAAUAAUUGUGCAAAAUUAAUUGAAGGAUUUUAAAAACAAGUUUCAAAACCAACUCAGAAUAUGUAUAAACUGAUGUAGAGUCACACACACCAGAGAAAUACAUAUCAGUGGAAAAUACUAUAUAUACUGAAUAUACUGAACUAUAGUGAGUAUCUGAACUUGAAAAUAACAGGAAUUAGGAACAAUACUUUAUAGGUUGGUAAGAACAUGCAAAGAAGGUCUCGUUUCCCAUGCUAAAAAUAACAAUGAGCAUUUGGUGGUGGUGGACUGAUUCUGACUGGAGCCACUUGUUUGUUUCUGGGCAUUAAUUUCAAGCAGAAGUAAUGUGAUGCUCAAGGCAAGCAGGGAGAUAUGGAAAGACCGCAGAAGGGAUUGAGAUGAACUCUUUUUCAAGGUGACGAGGAAUGAGAGUAAGUGGAAAGAGAUGGACACCAAGGGUCUGGAAGCAGAAGCAAAUGAGGUAGGCUAAAGUCGGCCAAGGAUGGGUAGGUCAAGAGCAGGUGGGAACUUGCACAGCUGGGUGCUACCUGCGUAUCAGUCAUUCAGUGAGCAAACUGCUGAUAAGGGCAGCUGAUGGGAGGCCAGGAUUCACAGGAACAGUUGCCAAGUCAUCAGCAAUGCCAUCUAUCAAGCGUGCCUGCUAAAAUGACACUUAAUCCCUGAUGUUGAAUAUACAUUAAGACUCGGUGCCAGCUCCCUCUAACAAGUCCUGCUAAUAUUAGAUUGACACCGAGUCCACAAGGCAGGGCUUCCCCAGCAUUCAUGACACUGCUUCCAUCCCCUAAAGGUCUUCUGUGCUGACAGAAGAGGCAAUGAAGAAGGAAGAAGUCACAGUGGUCUGCUCAGUGGCUUCACAUUUUGCAGUGAUAACAGAAGAACCAGCAUACUGCAAGGGCUUUAGUGUGGGAAACAGCACUGCCUAUUGGAAAAAUGAGGCUUGCAAACAAAUGCAAAAAUCCUGCUCUGAGCGACUUCCUCUCUCCAGUGAAAACAGAGAGACCCUGGGUAACCUAUUGACACUCAGUACUUUUAAAAGGAUGGUCAGCCCUAUUUUAAAAGUUGUCAGUCCCUCAAAAAUCAUCCCCAAGAUUUUUAUUUUUGUCACUACAAGAACGUGCUAAAGAUCAAGAAUGUGGAACUAUGACACUGCACAGCAUGGUACUGGCUGGAGAAUGACUUCUUGUUAUGUGAGCCUGAGAGACGAAAACACAAUUGUGAUGACACCCAUCUCCAAAAGGCUUUCAUUUCAUGUAUUCAAGGCAGGUGAACUGUUAGGUCACAGCCUGAACUGGUGAUUGAGCACCUGGUGAAGGGGUGCACCAGCACUGGGAACACAGGUGCAAGUAAUUCACCCAUGAUACCAGAAUCCCACUUAAGGGCUGGAAGCCAUAAGGGAAACACCUCUGCUUGGAGACUGCUUUCUUCUGGGUGUUUUCUAGUGAGCCCUUAUCUUCAGACUGGGGUAUGUUGAUCUUUUCUGAGAAGGAAACCCUGGCUUUAUCCCAGAAAGCAAAUCUGAUGACUGGAAGGCCACUGAGAACUGAGCAGAUUGAGACUUCAUGCAUCUCUGCCGUGGGGAUGAGACUGCUGGGAAACUUUAAGCAUGGUCUUCAGCUUUCUGCCAGGGAGAAUUUCUUGUGGGAUAAAGAGGAGGAAUCAUCACCCAGAUUUGAGGCAGCUGCUUGUUCUCCUGCCCUGGAGCAAUGUUCCUACCCCAGGACGUGUCCCAGCCCAGUGUGAGCUGCAUGGCAUGCAAUGCACAUGCUGUAAGUGAUACUAAGAGAUGUCAUUUUCCAUGAAGGAAAUCAUAGUAAAAUGUAUGACAGUAGAACUGUAAAAAUCCUCAAGAGUAUCACAACUUCAAACAGCCAGAGCAUGAAAGAGACAAAAAGUCACCCUCAUUUGCAUAACUAUUUCAUUACUGCGCGACAGCAUCAUUCGUUUAACAGUAACAAUGAG
Coturnix japonica (Japanese quail) is the source of this 2722-nucleotide non-coding RNA. The record is from RefSeq and is a predicted model, not a curated record. NCBI's taxonomy places the organism in Eukaryota, Metazoa, Chordata, Aves, Galliformes, Phasianidae.